Long non-coding RNA from Hemicordylus capensis (graceful crag lizard), 1002 nucleotides. RefSeq lists it as uncharacterized. The record is from RefSeq and is a predicted model, not a curated record. Lineage: Eukaryota; Metazoa; Chordata; Lepidosauria; Squamata; Cordylidae. The transcript is spliced from 2 exons.
UCCGCGACUAGGAAGGCAGGGCUCCAAACUGAAUACGCUUGUUUUUCUAUCCGCUUUUCUCUCCGCUGUAAAAGUUUUUCUCUCCCCGGAAAUUCCGAGGCUCCUGGAACGUCAGUGGCCAAUAGGGGUGGAGCAGGGGCGGGGCUUGUGCCGAGGCGGGAAGAUAGCCCAGUCAGUGAGUGAGUGAGUGGAGAAAUUGGGUGGUUGCUGGAAGGUGGUUUUUUGAGAUCUUUGAAGUCCCACGUUACGUGGGCUUAAAUAAGCCAGCAGUGCUGUGCAUGGCCACAGAGUUGGGAUGCUGCACAGAAGCACUGGCCUGCAAACAGAGGCAGUCCCCGGAUCCCAUCCCAUCCGCCCCCCGCGAAAAUGGCCCCGUUCCAUCUCCGAGCCGCGUGGUCUGAGGGCUGCGCCGACCUGCUGCGCCUCAUAAAGGAGCUUGCUAGAUAUGAAGAAAUGGAGGAUCAAGUAGUACUGACUGGGAAAGAUCUGCUUGCUUGAGGAUGGCUUUGGAGAACACCCUUUCUACCACUGUCUUGUUGCAGAAGUACCAAAAGUUUGUCAUCUCUUUGCCAUUCACAAAUACAGCCCCAAUAUUGCUUUUGGGAGAAAGUAAUGCAAGCAUUCAAAUAGUGCUUGAAUGUGUUCUAUUUUAAUGAUUCUUUUUUUAUAUGCAUGUACUAAGAGUCUCCUUGGAAUUUGGGAAUGCAUACUUUCCAGUAAGCAGACAUGGCUCUUAUUUAUGGCUACAUGGAAAGGAAGAAUAUUGUUGGUUUUCAUACCAAGGUUUUAUUUUGAAUAUCUCAUUAUCAGACUUCUUCCUCUGCUCCUAAAAUAUUUGAAUAUAAUGUUCACAUUAACAUUGUGUGCAUUUUGAUAUGUAAAUAGUAUGUAAAUAAAAUACAGUUUAUUGUUUAACAAAUUUUAUUUUAUGACAUUAUUUAAUUUCUUAAUUAAUUUCUUGUGUAAAUAGUAUGUAAAUAAAAUAGUUUAUUGUUUAACCAA